AAGGUAGCGAAAUUCCUUGUCAGGUAAGUUCUGACCCGCACGAAUGGCGUAACGACUUGGGAACUGUCUCAACAAGAGGCCCGGCGAAAUUGUAGUAUACGUGAAGAUGCGUAUUAACCCGCGACUGGACGGAAAGACCCCGUAGAGCUUUACUGCAGCUUGAUAUUGGAUUUCGGCAAUGGAUGUACAGGAUAGGUGGGAAACUGGGAAGCGAGUGCGUCAGCACUCGUGGAGUUGACGUUGGGAUACCACCCUUUCAUUGCUGAGGUUCUAACGAUGCGCCGUAAACCGGGCAUUGGACAAUGUCAGGUGGGCAGUUUGACUGGGGCGGUCGCCUCCCAAAGAGUAACGGAGGCGCCCAAAGGUUCCCUCAGAAUGGUUGGAAAUCAUUCAAAGAGUGUAAAGGCAGAAGGGAGCUUGACUGUGAAGACAGACAUGUCGAGCAGAUACGAAAGUAGGGCUUAGUGAUCCGGCGGUAGAGAAUGGAAUUGCCGUCGCUUAACGGAUAAAAGUUACCUCGGGGAUAACAGGCUGAUUCCUCCCAAGAGUUCACAUCGACGGAGGAGUUUGGCACCUCGAUGUCGGCUCGUCACAUCCUGGGGCUGUAGUAGGUCCCAAGGGUUCGGCUGUUCGCCGAUUAAAGUGGCACGCGAGCUGGGUUCAGAACGUCGUGAGACAGUUCGGUCCCUAUCCAUCGUGGGCGUAGGAUAUUUGAGAGGAUCUGCUCCUAGUACGAGAGGACCAGAGUGGACGCACCUAUGGUGCACCUGUUGUCGCGCCAGCGGCACAGCAGGGUAGCGAUGUGCGGAUGGGAUAAACGCUGAAAGCAUCUAAGCGUGAAACCCACCUCAAGAUAAGAUAUCCCAUAUCGUAAGAUAGUAAGACCCCUUGAAGACUACAAGGUUGAUAGGUCGGAGGUGUAAGCACGGUAACGUGUUCAGCUGACCGAUACUAAUAGGUCGAGGGCUUAAUCAA
Molecule: ribosomal RNA, 975 nt
Filed under: human gut metagenome
Description: bacterial LSU rRNA
Rfam family: Bacterial large subunit ribosomal RNA
Source: RNAcentral